Molecule: ribosomal RNA, 468 nt
Filed under: uncultured organism
Description: partial 16S ribosomal RNA
Rfam family: Bacterial small subunit ribosomal RNA
Source: RNAcentral
ACUCCUGCGGGAGGCAGCAGUGAGGAAUAUUGGACAAUGGGUGGAAGCCUGAUCCAGCCAUCCCGCGUGCAGGAAGACGGCCCUAUGGGUUGUAAACUGCUUUUAUCUGGGGAUAAACCUACUUACGUGUAAGUAGCUGAAGGUACCAGAAGAAUAAGCACCGGCUAACUCCGUGCCAGCAGCCGCGGUAAUACGGAGGGUGCAAGCGUUAUCCGGAUUUAUUGGGUUUAAAGGGUCCGUAGGCGGACUGAUAAGUCAGUGGUGAAAUCCGACAGCUUAACUGUCGAACUGCCAUUGAUACUGUUAGUCUUGAGUAAGGUUGAAGUGGCUGGAAUAAGUAGUGUAGCGGUGAAAUGCAUAGAUAUUACUUAGAACACCAAUUGCGAAGGCAGGUCACUAAGUCUUAACUGACGCUGAUGGACGAAAGCGUGGGGAGCGAACAGGAUUAGAAACCCCGGUAGUCCCAUG